CAAUCACUUAAUCUUGCAUUAGUUACUAGCUCAUCAAUGAAUCUCAAUUCAAUCUCUAGGCAUACAUGUUGUAAGCCACAUCACAAGAAAUAAUAACAUAAAUGCAUAAGAAUAAUCAUAUGGGCCCAUAACGAUAUUAGCCAACAUAGGCCAAUUUACAUAACUAAUACUACCUUAAUAACAAGCCAAUGCCUUUGGCUAAAUCAUAAUAUUACAUACUCACAUUAAAACCCUAUACAUGCCAUAGACUCAAAUCACUUGAGUUUACUUACUCCGAUAACGUUAACUCGAUAGGGUGAUUAUAUCUCUGACGGCCUCCAACCCGAGCUAACCUGGAAACUCUAAAAAACAUGGGAAAGAAGGGGGGUAAGCUUUCGCUAAGUAAGUUCAUAUGAAAACAAUAAGCAACUCAUUAACUUGUUUUAUCAAUGUUUACAACAUAUUCUCAAGUUCACUACAAGCUGUCUUCCGGAGCAACAGUUACUAUAUUAUUUAUAUCUGGAGCUACGAAACUACGAAUUAAGUUCGGUUAAUUUUUCCUGAAACUAGACUUAUUUUCCUUUCUUCCAUAAAAUUUCCAGAAUUUUUGGUUAAGCCAAAUAGUACAGUUUAUUAGUUAAACUCUCCCCUAUUUCAGGGUAUGACCACUCUGACCCCUGUACACUACAAACCAAAUUUAUCCCUGUAAAAAAUUCCAACGACCAUGUCGUUUAUUUCCCAUAAAAAUAGACUCAAUAAGGAAUCUAUGCAUGUAAGGUAUAACUCUUAAUAAUUUUUGUACAAUUUUUGGUGAAUUUCUAAAGUUAGAACAGGGGAUCUCUAAUUCAUUCAGACCCUGUUUCACAAGAAUUCAAAUAUCACACAAUAUGGAAUUCUUUUUCUUCCCUUGUUUCUUUCAUGUGAAAAUAGACUCAUUGAGCUUUAAUCCCAUAUUUUAUUCUGCCUCUAACUCAUUUUCCACUAUUUUUAGUGUAUUUUCAAAGUUACACUACUGCAGUAACUCAAAUCUGUCAAGGCUAAAUUACUCAUUCAUGAUCAUUGUUCACAAAAUUAAUACAACAUCGUUUGUAUAAUCAUCACCGAGACAUUCAUAUCAGAUUUUCAUUUACCAUCUUACCAUAUUGUUGUUAUGUCGAGUUUUCAACCCGAGGGUUAAGUACAUACCUGUUCAAAGUAUCCAUUUCACAAUAUUUACCAAUACGUCCUUUCAUCUCGAGUAUUCCUCCAUUUGAGUAGAAUUUUACCCGUUGAACACAUCGGAAUAUAAUUCGGAUACAUGGAAAGUUUGCACAUAAGUGCCACAUAUGUAGCCAAGCUACCAUGUAACCCGCCCAUAAGUGAACUCGGACUCAACUCAACGAGCUCAGGCGUUCGCAUCCAUAAGUGAACUCGGACUCAACUCAAUGAGCUCGGAUGCCUAGUUACAUCUCACGAACUCAGACUCAACUCAACGAGUUCGAACAUUCGCAUCCAUAAGUGAACUCGGACUCAACUCAACGAGUUCGGAUGCUCAACCAUCCUAGUGACAUGUCACUUGUAUCCUAAUCUAUUCCUAAGGUUCAAACGGGAUUUUCCUCGAACAUAUAUCCUUGCCAUCUUCCGUAAAAUACCGAAACCAAUACUCGGUAGCACUUUAUAUUUAACAGAUAAUACACAUAACUUGCAUUUUAUUCGAAAAUAACCACAAAGCAUAUAUUUCAUGAUAAAAAUCAGCAUAUCAUAUAUUUAACAUCAAUAACUUAAAAAUAACAAUUAUGCUACAUUAUUUACACAUAAACUUACCUCGAUACCACAAAGGUGAAAAGACAUACUCGUCCAUAAAUCGAUUUCUUUCCGUUCUAGGUCCAAAUCUCAAUUUUCAUCAUCUAUAACAUCACAUUUAGCCUACCAAUCAGUCACAAUAUUCAUAUGGAUCAAAAAAUCAUAUUUUUACAAAUUUUCAUUUUGACCCCUAAACUUUUGCAUAUUUGCACUUUUGCCUCAAUGCUCGUAAAUUAAUUUUUAUCACAUUUCUUUACUCCUUGAGUCUAUAUGAACCAUUUUCAUAACUAUAGCAACUCAUAAUUUCAACUAUUUUACACAUUUACAACUCAUUUUACAACUUAGCAAUUUACCCCUUUUUUAAGGUAUUUUCAUGCAAUUUCUUUCACAAAAGUUGUUUAUUAGACAACUAGGACUCAUAAUCUUCCAUAAAAACACAGCAAACAACACAUUUACUCUCAUGGUAAAACCCUAGACUCUUCAUCAUUUUGCAAAAUAAUCCCCUCUUAUGAAAGCUUAUGCUUUAGGGGUUCCAAAAAUACAAAAAUCAUCAAGCAAAGACAUUAAAAUCACUUACAAGCAAGGGAAAUAUGUUGCUGAAAUUUUCCAAUUUCAAAACCCUUUCUUUGCUGCAUAUUUCGGUGAAGGGGAAGAGAAAAAUGAUAGCUUUUUCUUUUUUUUUUUUUUGUUAAUAAUAAAACUAUUUUGUCUAAUUUUGACUUUUCAACUAUUUUGUCUCCCAUGGCCGGCCAUCACACUUUCAAUGGCCAAAUUUCACUUUAAAGACCCCAAAUUUAAGAUACAAGGCAAUUUAACACCUUUAGGUAUUAAAACACAACUUUUACUUUUUACGCGAUUUAGUCCUUUUUCGAAAUUGGACUAGAAAUCGCUAAAAUUACUAUACCAAAAUUAACAUGCACUUAUAAAAUCAUAUUAUAACACAUAAAAUAAUACUAAAAUAAUUUUCUCUGGCCUCGGAAUAGUGGUCCCGAAACCAUUGUUCCGAUUAGAACCAAAAUCGGGCUGUUACAUUUCUUCCCCCUUUAGGUAUUUUCAUCCCCGAAAAUCUUACCAGAAAAAGUUGUUCUCUACUUUCACGAGUCACUUAUAUCGUUUUCUCACAACUUACAAAACAACUCCGCACAAGCUCAUACUCAAGAUUUCCUAUAGCUUUUCCAUAGUUGAGGUAUAAACCUCGAAGCUCAAUUUGAAACACUGGAGACUGACAUUCUUGGAACUAUAAACUCAGAAACAUACAACUCAGUCACAUCUGUUGAAUAAUAUAUCUGUACAUACUAAAAUAAUCAUGCAGACUUCCAUCAUCAAUCUUUCACAAUUCAACUUGCAUCUCUCCUUUUUCCUGGAAAUAAGAGACAUCCCGAUACGAAAUUCAUAACAGUCCUUUCUCAUUUUCUUCCCACUGUCAUCACUGACAAUAAUAAUCUCGAAUACAUUUGAUAUUCGGCUUUACCCUAUAGACAAUUCGACAUCCUUUGAACGAAUAAACAAGAUACUGCUGUGAACUCUGUACUCAAUUCUCUGUAUACCCAGAGUUUCUCAGUACUGAAAUCUUACUCUGAAUUAAUAGUAAUAGAAACCAGAAAUCAAAUCCUCCCUGCAAUUCCAAAUUAAAAGUCGAAUCGUGUUGUACUUGUUUAAUUUACCACUUAUAGCCACAUUUUUAUACUCUGAUCAUCAACUGUUUAGAAACUUUACUAACAUGAAUCAAAUGAUUCCAACUUCAUAGAUGUGGUAUUUUUAUUAAUCAGUAUAACUAUACUUAUAACAUCUCUCGAACAAGAGAAAUCCAACUAAUAUGUUUCCAUAACAUACUUUCAAGAAUAAAACCCCAUCAUUUCUGACUGUACGACUACUUACCAAAGAACACGUAACGGUAUUCUCGAACCAGAGAAUAAACUUAAAUGCACAUAACUCAGAUUUACUUUUGUAGAAUAACCAUUCUUUACCCCAGAAGUUUUAAAGAAAUCUCGACACUGAAAUCCCCACACUUCUAUGGUCGAGCCAGAAGCUUAAUCAUAACAGAUUCUAAUAUCGCAAGUCAAAGAUUACUCGUAAAGAUAAGCCAAGCUUGAUAAUUCUCGAAAAAAGAACGAGAGAAAAGCCAAUAUAAGAAAUUCCAAGAUAUAAAGACUACACCAGAAAUCCGAGAAUAUAAUCCAGAAAGAAAAUAAUAAAUAUGAUCCGAAAAAUCCCUCAGAGAAAACCAGAAGGAAACUACUGUCUGUACGCUUUAGAAUUUCUCAUAAUAGAGAUAAUAUAAUUCUCACAUAUAUAAACCAUAAUCAAUAGAAUAUCAGAAUAAUCUCACAUAGAUUUUUUUUUUACUAUCAACUUCAUUCCAAUAUAUCAGAAUAGAAAUCUGAAGAGAUGGGGAAAAUGUCAAUUAUAACUAACUGGACCAAUAGAGCUUUUCAUCUAAUAUCACAGUCACUAGCAUCCUCGUAUGAUAGAAUUUCCAUUCAAAAGGGAUAACCAUACGUAUUCCCCAGAAUUGAGGAAAACAUAGAAUACUCAGAAGAGAAAGAUAGCCAUCACUUUUAUUUGAUUGAAUCCGACAUACUCAAACAUCAGUGCAAAUCCGACAUUAUUCUUCUAACUAAUUCUGUCUUCACUAAUCCCAUACUAUUCCAUUAUUUUACUUUUUAGUUUCACGUUUGCAAGCUUAUGCAACAUAUCUCUCGAAAAUCUCAUCGUAUAACUCUAUUCUGGUAAGGGCGCGAAGAUUGUAAAGCCUCUAAACUUUUGACUCUCAAGAAAAUACAUAUUCAACAACAAUAUAGCUUUACGCAUAUUGAUUCAAACAUUUCAAAUUUCCAACUUGUUAUGAACACAUUUUCACAUAUCUCAGUAAUACAUGCAACUUUAUUUCGUGCGAAUAUUAGCUAAACAUAAGUGAAUUUAUCAUAACUCAAACUUUCAUUUCUUUUUUUCAAAUUACCCUUAAUGUUUUAUCAAAUUCCCAUAUUUAGUCUUAAUCACUUGCCAAUAUUUAUCAAAUUGGAGAACGUCUUAUGGUUUUGAGUACAUCGUUUACUUGAUGCCAUAGUUCAACUAUGGUUUUGUACUAGCUCUCAUCCAUCUGUAUCGAUGCAGUGUCCCAGACAGGUCUUACACUGACACAUGUAACCGUGCUGACGCAUGUCCCAGACAUGUCUUACACUAGCACAUCUCGUAGCCGACGCAUGUCCCAGACAUGUCUGACAUUGGCUAACAUCUCGAGGUCGAUGCAUGUCCCAGACAUGUCUUACACUGGCUCUCAUACUGUGGCUGAUGCAUGUUCCAGACAUGUCUUACACUAGCCCUCGUCUCAAUGCCGAUGCCAUGUCCCAUACAUGGUCUUACACUGGCACACAAAUCUCAUGUAUUGCCAUGGUCCAACCAUGGUCUUUUCCGUCAAUUCAUUAGUGAACGAUCGUACUCAUUCCCUGCGUUCCACCCAAUUUGAUCUUUCAUUACAACUUUCAUGCUAUUGUGACAUUUAUGAUUCUGUAACUGAGAUUAUAAAGCAUAACAUUACUGCAUAUUGACUUCAUCAAUCUAAACAUAAAUGUCAACCUCAUGUAUAUACUGAUUAUUAAUCAUGCAACAAAAGCAUUCAUAUAUACUGAUUAUUAAUCAUGCAACAAAAGCAUUCAUACAUACAUUCUGUCAUUUCAAGCAAAUUUCUUUCUUUUCCUAAACACUUGGCCAAAUCAAGUUGGACAUUUAACAUCGUAUGAAUACUAACAUGCAUAAAAGCGUUUUUUCACAACUUAACUGUGUUUUACUCCACUAUUUCACAUUCUUUAUCUCAAGAGUAUCACAUAAUGAAAACUAGUUCAUAUAAAAAAAAUUAUGGAUUUCUUUUCAUACCUUUCCCAAUUUUCAGUAUAUCAUAAGCAUGAUUCAAUAAUCUCAACUUUACUCUUAUCUCUAUCAAGAUUUGCUCGGUUGGAACUCAUUCAUGUCUUAAUCAACAGUUUUGUUAGGGCCGAAAGAUAUCACACUAUCACGAGUAAUACUAUGGCAUGUAUAGCUAGACUCUCUUACGCUAGGUUAGCCCGAGAACCGACUAAACCAUGCUCUGAUACCACUAAAUGUAACACCCCUCGCCCGCAUCCGACGCCGGGACGGGGUUCAAGGUGCUACCUGACUUUUACUAACACUUUCAUACUAAACAGGGCCAUGAAAUCUCAAAUAGUUAAAAACUUUUCUUUUCACAUAUAAUAUGUCUCAUAUACGGGCUUACGAGGCCCAAAACAUACAUCUGGAGUGGUUCAGGACCCAAUCUAGAACUCAUGAAAAACUUAAAAAAAUCUCUUGCGUUAAGGCUUCAAACGCCUAUAUGCUCAGGCCGUGUGGCCAGAAAUAGGCUAAUUAUUAAGCCUUUUAGCACUCUCACACCAUAUGCAUAGAUACAUACUUAUCCAAUAACAUACAACGUGACAUAAAUGAGCUCUUAAACAUCUACAAACAUGUUAUGCUCAAGUUAUUUUCUUAUGCAAUAAAUAUUAUAGAAUUUGCCUAUAUCAUUACCACAUACUAGACAUAACUAUCAUUACAUCACAAACCAUUCAUGAAGCAUUAUUAACUAUUUACCAAUCACUUAAUCCUGCAUUAGUUACUAGCUCAUCAAUGAAUCUCAAUUCAAUCUCUAGGCAUACAUGUUGUAAGCCACAUCACAAGAAAUAAUAACAUAAAUGCAUAAGAAUAAUCAUAUGGGCCCAUAACGAUAUUAGCCGACAUAGGCCAAUUUACAUAACUAAUACUACCUUAAUAACAAGCCAAUGCCUUUGGCUAAAUCAUAAUAUUACAUACUCACAUUAAAACCCUAUACAUGCCAUAGACUCGAAUCACUUGAGUUUACUUACUCCGAUAACGUUAACUCGAUAGGGUGAUAAUAUCUCUGACGGCCUCCAACCCGAGCUAACCUGGAUACUCUAAAAAACAUGGGAAAGAAAGGGGGUAAGCUUUCGCUUAGUAAGUUCAUAUGAAAACAAUAAGCAACUCAUUAACUUGUUUUAUCAAUGUUUACAACAUAUUCUCAAGUUCACUACAAGUUGUCUUCCUGAGCAACAGUCACUAAAUUAUUUAUAUCUGGAGCUACGAAACUAUGAAUUAAGUUUUGUUAAUUU
This 6896-nucleotide long non-coding RNA is filed under the name Gossypium barbadense (sea-island cotton). RNAcentral's name for it is "long non-coding RNA (GBAR_LNC000979)". The record is from RNAcentral. Lineage: Eukaryota; Viridiplantae; Streptophyta; Magnoliopsida; Malvales; Malvaceae.